GGCCAAAUGGUUUAGUGGUAUAAUUCUCGCUUUGGGUGCGAGAGGUCCUGGGUUCGAUUCCCAGUUUGGCCC
Non-coding RNA from Clonostachys solani, 72 nucleotides. The record is from the annotation of a GenBank genome assembly. NCBI's taxonomy places the organism in Eukaryota, Fungi, Ascomycota, Sordariomycetes, Hypocreales, Bionectriaceae.